Molecule: ribosomal RNA, 253 nt
Filed under: uncultured bacterium
Lineage: Bacteria
Description: partial 16S ribosomal RNA
Rfam family: Bacterial small subunit ribosomal RNA
Source: RNAcentral
UACGAACUGUGCGAACGUUAUUCGGAAUCACUGGGCUUACAGGGUGCGUAGGCGGCUUUUCAAGUCAGGUGUGAAAGCCCCCGGCUCAACCGGGGAACUGCGCUUGAAACUGAAAGGCUCGAGUCAGCUAGAGGUACACGGAACUUCCAGUGGAGCGGUGAAAUGUGUUGAUAUUGGAAGGAACACCGGAGGCGAAAGCGGUGUACUGGGGCUGGUCUGACGCUGAGGCACGAAAGCCAGGGGAGCGAACGGG